GAAAUGCGAUAAGUAAUGUGAAUUGCAGAAUUCAGUGAAUAAUCGAAUCUUUGAACGCACCUUGCGCUCCUUGGUAUUCCUUGGAGCAUGCCUGUUUGAGUAUCAUGAAAUCUUCAAAGUAAAUCUUUUGUUAACUCAAUUGGUUUCUACUUUGGUAUUGGAGGUCUUUGCAGCUUCACACCUGCUCCUCUUUGUUCAUUAGCUGGAUCUCAGUGUUAUGCUUGGUUCCACUCGGCGUGAUAAGUUAUCUAUCGCUGAGGACACUGUAAAAGGUGGCCAAGGUAAAUGCAGAUGAACCGCUUCUAAUAGUCCAUUGACUUGAACAAUACUUUUAUGAUCUGAUCUCAAAUCAGGUAGGACUACCCACUAAACUUAAGC
RNAcentral lists this unclassified non-coding RNA (378 nucleotides) under plant metagenome. RNAcentral describes it as "partial contains 5.8S ribosomal RNA, internal transcribed spacer 2, and large subunit ribosomal RNA". The stretch from base 1 to 105 matches the Rfam family "5.8S ribosomal RNA", at positions 50 to 154 of the family's 154-position model. The record is from RNAcentral.